Long non-coding RNA from Acinonyx jubatus (cheetah), 3828 nucleotides. RefSeq lists it as uncharacterized. NCBI's taxonomy places the organism in Eukaryota, Metazoa, Chordata, Mammalia, Carnivora, Felidae. The transcript has 4 exons. The record is from RefSeq and is a predicted model, not a curated record.
GAGGCUCAUUUGGGACAGGGCUGGGGUGUUGGACAGGAGGCCCCGAGGGCUUGUGAGGGACUGAGUGGCAGAUGAGCAGAAUGGAUGGGGGAGGGGAGAGGGUCGGAGGAGACGCGGACCGGGAAACCAGGGAGGAGGCUCCUGCAGGUGUCUGGGCGAGUCAACAGCGGUUCCGAGGGUGAUCGUGGUGGAGGGUGGAGAGCGGGACAAGGGUUCUGGCCUCGUCGCGGGCGCAGGUUAGAGCCGCCUGGUGCAGGUGGUCUCGGGGGUCUGUGGACACAGGGCCUCCCUGCGUCUCUCUCCACCGAAGGGGCCAUGGGCAUGCCCACCUGUGUGUCCUACCUGCUUUGUCAAACUCUCCGGGCCGAGACGCACAGGAGGAGAUGCGUUUGACAUUAAGCCCAGACUACAUAACAGAAACCAAUAUUUUACCAAAAUACUUAUAUAUGCCUGCUGUAUUUUCUAUCUUGCUCUAUUAAAAAAAUUUUUUUUAAGUGUUUAUUUAUUUUUGAGAGAGAGAGACAGAGCACGAGCAGGGGAGGGACAGAGAGAGAGGGAGACACAGAAUCCGAAGCAGGCUCCAGGCUCCGAGCUGUCAGCACAGGGCCCGACUCGGGGCUCGAACUCAUGGACCGCGAGAUCAUGACCUGAGCCGAAGUCGGAUGCUCAACCGACUGAGCCCCCCAGGCGCCCCUGCUGUGUUUUUUAAACAUUUUUAAAGUUUAUUUAUUCAUUCUGAGAGAGAGCGAGAGAACGCCAGCAGGGGAGAGGUAGAGAGAGAGGGAGACAGAAUCCCAAGCAGGCUCCAAGCUGUCAGUACAAAGCCCAAUGUGGGACCCAAACUCAUGAACCAUGAGAUCAUGACCCGAGCCGAAAUCAAGAGUCGGAUGCUUAAACAACUGAGCCACCCAGGCCCCCCACCUAUUUUGUUUUUCUUUUUCAUGCAGGUUGCAGUGGUACAGUGGCCUGCGAUUGGGCACAGCGGUCACGAGAGUAUGGCCCUGGAUGAAGCCCGUUGUCCCUCCCCUGGCCCUCUUGCCUAGAGGGACACACACCAUAGGCUGGCCCGCUGACAGAAGGGCAGACCCUACAAGUUGGCUGGGGACCCUUGGGGCAGGGGAUCCCGGGGUCCCAGAAAACCAGAGUACAACCUGGAAGUGGGGACCGGGCUCCUUGCUCUAUAAGGGAGGGUGUGGUCGGACCAAAGUGGGGCCCCUGAAAGCGUGACACCAGCACAGGGCCCCACCUGAGCUGUGGGGGAAGCAGACAUCACCGCUGGGGUACCACCCUCAUACCUGCCUGCCUCCUCUGCAGGUGUCUGGCUUCUUUUAUGACUUGGACUAUGCAGACACUUUCUUGAAAGUUUCAAAUAGCUUGGUUCAUAACAUUCAGAAGUAAAAGUCCAGUUCUGGUAACAAAGAGGAAGGCCGGGUACCCGGGAGUGGUGAUCAGUCCUUUAUCAGAUGCCCAAACAGCUAAAACCCCUGAGCCCCCUAGGACGGCAAGUGGCCCCCACAGCAUCCAUCUAAGACCUGCCGCUGAAGGGACACCUGUGGCCUUUGAAGUUGUUGUUCCCGCGUCUUCUAGAAGACCAUCCAGAUACAAUUAGAAAUGCAAUUGCAGGGGUGCUUGAGUGGCUCAGUUGGUUAAGCAUCUGACCUUUGAUUUGGGCUUGGAUCAUGAUCUCAUAGUUCCUGGGUCCGAACCCCACGUCGGGCUUUGCACUGACAGGGAGGAGCCUGCUUGGGAUUCUCUCUCUUCCCGCUCUCUCUCUGCCCCUCACCCACUUGAGCAGGCAUAUCGUGUUAGGUUGCUGGACCGUUUGUAUCGUUUGGAUUGCUUGCUACUUCCUUUGCCCACUCGUUCUCCUGGAGUCUGAGGGUCACAUACGUAAAGCAUAUUAGAGUAUCAACACUCCCCGUGCUUCCAUAACAAUCACCAAAUAUUAGUUGGGCACCGCUUUAGACAAGCUGCUGUGUUGGAUGGAGGUCUGCCUGAAGAGGUGAGGAACACCCCACAAUCCCCGCCUUCACGGGGCAAGAAGGUAGAUGGUAGUGAGAGUUACCCAAACCCGUAAUUGCAAAAUGGGUCGAUUGGUGUUUGGGCAAGGACUGGCAUGCUGUGAGGGGAUCUGAUCUGGCCUAGGGCUCCGCAAGGUCCCUCUCAGGAAGUGACAUCGGAGUUGCAGUUCGAUGAAGGAGUAGGAAAUAACCACUUGCGGUGGGAGGGGGAGGGGCUGGAGAGAUAUUAGCAGGUGCAAGGCCCUGAGGCCCAAAGGAGCGGGCGGGCGGGCGUGUCCAGCGACGUGAAGGAAUGUGUUUUGAGCUGGAAUGUGAAGGAAGACCAGUGCAGGGGACUGGGGGGUGGGCACAGAGAUUAGAGAGUUCCAGAUCAAGGUGAGGCGGUCAGACAGUCGGCCAGCAACUGUUCAUUUUCCUUUCUAGACUCUUUGUCCACAGCUAUGGGUAAGAUGGCCAUCCAGGGCCUGGACUCCUAGUUUAUGGUCUUUAAGGUCUGCCAUUUUCUCGGAUGAAUUCACCGUUUAUCACCCUGGGACGGAGGUUUCCUUGGUUGGUUCUUUCAUCCAUUCAUUUAUUCCACAGAUAUGCACUGAGCACCUGUGAUGUGCAGGCAACAGGGACCUCUAAGACAGGACCAUGUCCCUCUCUGGCCUAGCACAGUGCCUGGUAAUCAGAAGAAGACCAGUGAGGAAGCAAGCAUCACUCCAGACCUACCAGAUGUGCAAAGAUGAAGAGGUCUGAUGGGGCCGAGUGUCUUCAAGGACAUGGAGAAUCAGGGGUGUGGAGACGCUGUGGUGGGAUCGUAAGUCAGGUCAUCCACUUUGGGGAGCAGAUGAAAAUACCAAGUAAAGUUAAAAAUGCCCGUUUCUUUCACCCUGAAAUCCUACUUACAGCAUAAAUCUGGAGAAACGUCUGCUCAGGGGAGUGUGAACACACAGAUGUUCAUUGCAUCAUUGUUUAUGACAGCAAAGAACCUGGACACCCAUUGACAGGUAAAAAGAUACACACAUUCAUGGAUGUGAGAACCAGAGACAACGCAGAGAGAAACGCCAGAGAUCGGGAAGGCUUCCACAUUCUGGCAGAUUGUCACGAAACGUGGCUCUUACUUCUGAGCACAGAGGUGUGUGUUGAGAUGAAAUCUAUAAAUCACGGACAACGUGGUCAGUCUCCAUGGAGACUUGUUCCACCCCCAGCCUCCCCCCACCCCCGGCAGGGGCACCUCCGUUUUACCCAGUGGCUCAAGUCCGAAAUCCAAGUGUCAUCUUGGAUUCUUGUCUGUCUCACACUCCACAACCAACCUGUCGAAAACCUCUGUCAUUUCUACUUCCAAAAUAUAUUCCCCUCCCUUCCCUUCUUCGGAAUAUGACACUUCUCUCCAUCUCUGUCCCACUGCCCACAUCCGGCCUCCCUCCUGGGCAGGUGACAGCCUCUGCUCCCUUGCUCUCCCCACCGUCGCCUGCUCCCUGCCCUGCAGCCAAGGCGAUCCUUAAAACAGCAAAUCGGAAGUCAUCAUUCCCCUGCUUAUACCCGUCAGUGGUUCCCCCUCCACCGAGAAUAUGCUAACUGCCCUCCCUUCACCAAUAAAACUAAAAAAUCUGGACCACUUCUGUUUCAUAUCCAUUUAAAAUGAUAAACCUUCUCCCCUACCCCAGCCCAGGCCUUCCUUGAUCUAUCUUUCCAUGUUAUUUAUCACAUUAUGCACUAUAUGAUGCUAUAUAAUAUUAGACUUUGUAUCUUUCUAUAUAUUAUAUUCUUUAGGUAGUUUAUUGUUGGCCUUCCCUUGCAAUAAAGUAUAAGCUUCAUAGGA